This 242-nucleotide long non-coding RNA is filed under the name Nicotiana benthamiana. RNAcentral describes it as "long non-coding RNA (NBEN_LNC026988)". The record is from RNAcentral. Lineage: Eukaryota; Viridiplantae; Streptophyta; Magnoliopsida; Solanales; Solanaceae.
CAGCCUCCCAGUAUAGGAUAAUUUCUUGGCAGUCCAUGAAAUGAUCUUAGCAGUAAUCUUCUCCACUAAAGGUUGCCAUUGAAUCAAGGCAAUCUUUUUGGUGGACAGAGGCAUACCAAGAUAUUUGAAUGGCAAUUCUCCAUGAGCAAAACCAAGGUGAUCAGUAAUCUGUCUCUGCACUGCCUGUGUCAAUCCCCCAAAAUACACUGAGCUUUUUCCCAGAUUAGCCUGCAAUCCUGAAG